UGGGGAAUUUUGGACAAUGGGCGCAAGCCUGAUCCAGCAAUGCCGCGUGCAGGAUGAAGGCCUUCGGGUUGUAAACUGCUUUUGUACGGAACGAAACGGUUCACUCCAAUACAGUGAGCUAAUGACGGUACCGUAAGAAUAAGCACCGGCUAACUACGUGCCAGCAGCCGCGGUAAUACGUAGGGUGCGAGCGUUAAUCGGAAUUACUGGGCGUAAAGCGUGCGCAGGCGGUUAUAUAAGACAGAUGUGAAAUCCCCGGGCUCAACCUGGGACCUGCAUUUGUGACUGUAUAGCUAGAGUGCGGCAGAGGGGGAUGGAAUUCCGCGUGUAGCAGUGAAAUGCGUAGAUAUGCGGAGGAACACCGAUGGCGAAGGCAAUCCCCUGGGCCUGCACUGACGCUCAUGCACGAAAGCGUGGGGAGCAAACAGG
Molecule: ribosomal RNA, 429 nt
Filed under: uncultured Comamonadaceae bacterium
Lineage: Bacteria; Pseudomonadati; Pseudomonadota; Betaproteobacteria; Burkholderiales; Comamonadaceae
Description: bacterial SSU rRNA
Rfam family: Bacterial small subunit ribosomal RNA
Source: RNAcentral